UACGAGGGGGGCGAGCGUUGUUCGGAAUUAUUGGGCGUAAAGGGUGCGUAGGCGGCCUGACAAGUCUGAUGUGAAAUCCCUGGGCUCAACCCAGGGCCUGCAUCGGAAACUGUCGGGCUUGAGUAUGGGAGAGGUGAGUGGAAUUUCCGGUGUAGCGGUGAAAUGCGUAGAUAUCAGGAAGAACACCCGUGGCUAAGGCGGCUCUCUAGUACGGUACUGACGCUGAGACGCGAAAGCGUGGGGAGCGAACAGG
This 253-nucleotide ribosomal RNA is filed under the name uncultured bacterium. RNAcentral describes it as "partial 16S ribosomal RNA". It matches the Rfam family "Bacterial small subunit ribosomal RNA", at positions 524 to 776 of the family's 1533-position model. The record is from RNAcentral.